This 492-nucleotide ribosomal RNA is filed under the name uncultured bacterium. RNAcentral's name for it is "partial 16S ribosomal RNA". It matches the Rfam family "Bacterial small subunit ribosomal RNA", at positions 29 to 507 of the family's 1533-position model. The record is from RNAcentral.
AGUGAACGCUGGCGAUAGGCCUAACACAUGCAAGUCGAACGGCAGCACAGUAAGAGCUUGCUCUUACGGGUGGCGAGUGGCGGACGGGUGAGGAAUACAUCGGAAUCUACUUUUUCGUGGGGGAUAACGUAGGGAAACUUACGCUAAUACCGCAUACGACCUACGGGUGAAAGCAGGGGAUCUUCGGACCUUGCGCGAUUGAAUGAGCCGAUGUCGGAUUAGCUAGUUGGCGGGGUAAAGGCCCACCAAGGCGACGAUCCGUAGCUGGUCUGAGAGGAUGAACAGCCACACUGGAACUGAGACACGGUCCAGACUCCUACGGGAGGCAGCAGUGGGGAAUAUUGGACAAUGGGCGCAAGCCUGAUCCAGCCAUACCGCGUGGGUGAAGAAGGCCUUCGGGUUGUAAAGCCCUUUUGUUGGGAAAGAAAAGCAGCAGGUUAAUACCCCGCUGUUCUGACGGUACCCAAAGAAUAAGCACCGGCUAACUUCGUG